This 2172-nucleotide ribosomal RNA is filed under the name Triticum aestivum (bread wheat). RNAcentral's name for it is "partial small subunit ribosomal RNA". The record is from RNAcentral. Lineage: Eukaryota; Viridiplantae; Streptophyta; Magnoliopsida; Poales; Poaceae.
AUGGCGAUUGAACCUCUCCGUGACAAUCUGGACAACCUCGCAGCAACCGCCCAACCGUAUGGUGAUUCCUCUUCCCACCAACAACUCACCGUGUACAACUACGACCUGAGUGGUCCACUUUCAACAGUUCUCUCCCCAGCCAACCAAGUAAGUAUCAACAGCAGCCAUGGACAAAACAAAUUUCAGAUUGCUGCAGGGGGUAGCCCUGAGCACCGCCGAAUCAGAUCAAACGAUGCUCUUCACUACAUAAGCCAGAUGCUGAUGGAAGACGUUGACGAAGAGGUCGACAUAUGCCAAGGGGCUGCUCUUCAGGCUACUGAGAAGCCAUUCCGUGAUAUUCUAGGUGAGGUAUACGUGUCGCCUACUAACUGGCCGCCAUUGCAUAGCAACAACAAACCAGACAACCCUGAUAAGGACUAUUCCAGUUACAAUGUGUUACAACCUUCAGCAACUCCGCUGUGUCCAUAUAUCUGCAAUAGGAGUCCUUUUUUACCAAACCAGCCUUUGAUAAGUGUUGGAUGGACUUCCGGAUCUGGCUUCCCUGCCUUGCAUGGUCAGAGAGGUGUCGGGGAGGAAAGAACCUUUGCUCCAAGUAUUGAUAAGCUGGUGAUAUAUUCAAAGAAUAACAUAGUUUAUAUUUCCCAACUGACUACGAAGGCGAAAGUAAGAGAGAGGACCGAAAACACAAUCUUUGAGGUGUCAGACCUAAGGGCUUGGGAUAUCUUUCAAGGAAGGAGCAAUAAACACCAUGCCAUCACCACUUGUGCAAUAAUUCGAAAUGAAAAUUUCGACAAAGUUCUACUAUGCUAUGGUCAUUCUGGCCGAAUAACAAGACUGGAAGAAAGGAUGGCGGGGGAAGGAAACAAGACCUCACUGAAAGGCCGGAGCAGAAGUAGGAAGCAACCGAGGAAAGAGUUGGUUGAUCUCAGGACUCUCCUCAUCCACUGCGCACAAGCUGUGGCAGAACAUAGCUACCUGUUGGCCAGCGAACUGCUAUUGAAGAUAAGGCACCACUCUUCAGCAGAUGGUGAUUGUACUCAGAGACUGGCAUUUUACUUGGCGGAUGGCCUCAAGUCACGCUUGGCUGGGACCGGGAGUCAGGUUUAUCGCAACCUCGUGGAAAGGCGAACAAGUACCGUAGAUUGGUUAGAGGCUUAUAGCCUUUUUCUUGCAGCUUUCCCUUUCGGAAGGGCGUCAUACUAUUUUGCCAACCAAGCUAUUCUUGAUGUCUCACAAGGGAAACCAAGGGUACACAUCGUUGAUUUCGGCAUUGGCUUCGGCUUUCAGUGGCCAUUAAUGAUUCAGAAUUUUGCACAGCAAGAAGAGGGAGCCCCUAAGCUUCGGAUCACAGGUAUAGACGUUCCCCAGCCAGGUUUCCGCCCCUGCGAAAUGAUCGAGGAGACAGGGAAGCGGUUGGCUGAUUACGCAAAUAGGUUCAACGUACCAUUCCAGUAUCAGGGCAUUGCCGCUUCAAGAUGGGAGACAAUCAAAAUUGAGGAUCUUAACAUUGACGAGGAUGAAGUUCUCAUAGUGAACUGCAUGUUCCGGAUGAAGAAUCUUGGUCAUGAAACUGAUGCCGUAAAUGGUGCAAGGGAUAAGGUGCUCAAAACUAUGUGGAGGAUGAACCCGAAGAUUUUUAUUUCUGGCACCGUGAAUGGGUUACUCAGUUCUCCCUUCUUCAUACAACGUUUCAAAGAGGUUAUGCUCUAUUACUCUUCAAUAUUUGACAUGCUUGAUGCAAAUGUUCCACGUGAUAAUGAAGCAAGAAAGAUGAUUGAGAGGAUCCUAUUUGGGCAGGAUGCUCUUAACAUCAUAGCAUGUGAGGGCGCAGACAGAACUGAGAGGCCGGAAUGUUACAGGCAGUGGCAAGCAAGGUGCCUCAAGGCUGGGUUCCAGCAGCUUCCUGUCGAUCCAGCCAUCCUAAAGAACAUAGUACACAGGAAGAAGUUAUUGUUUCAUGAGGAAUUCUUUGCUGUUGAAGAUUGCGGCUGGCUGCUACAAGGAUGGAAAGGGAGAGUACUUUAUGCUCUAUCUAAAUGGAAACCUAAUGAAACAUAUGAGGACCACUAUUUGCAUGAUUCUGAACACAAUGGGUCUAAAUUGCUGAAUAACAUUUUAAAAUGCGCUACGGGCAUCCGGUGCACCGGUAGCACCACAAGCACCGGUGCAUGA